UACGAAGGGGGCUAGCGUUGUUCGGAAUUACUGGGCGUAAAGCGCACGUAGGCGGAUCGAUCAGUCAGGGGUGAAAUCCCAGGGCUCAACCCUGGAACUGCCUUUGAUACUGGCGAUCUGGAGUAUGGAAGAGGUGAGUGGAAUUCCGAGUGUAGAGGUGAAAUUCGUAGAUAUUCGGAGGAACACCAGUGGCGAAGGCGGCAUCCUGGACCAACACUGACGCUGAGUGAGCGAAAGCCAGGGGAGCAAACGGG
This 254-nucleotide ribosomal RNA is filed under the name uncultured bacterium. RNAcentral describes it as "partial 16S ribosomal RNA". It matches the Rfam family "Bacterial small subunit ribosomal RNA", at positions 524 to 776 of the family's 1533-position model. The record is from RNAcentral.